GGAGAGGAGAGCGGCGGGCAGGACAGACCCGGCUCUGUGCCCCCUGUCCCGCUCUGGGGGUACCCCUGGAGGGGUCCCUGUGCCAGGGGCUUUCCUGCAGAAUCCACACUCCAGGUGGGAUCAUGGAACCACGGCAUGGCUUGGGUUGGAAGGGAACUGGAACUGCCCUAAGAAGGGCAGCCGUAGCAGGUUCGAGGCAGAGUGAGGACUUGGGGAAGGGUUAGUGUGUCGGCCCGCUCCUCGGGGGGUGGUUUAGGAGGGGGUCAAUCCCCCUGGACCCUCCUCUCCGGAGGGGAUCCGUCCCCUGGGCGCCUCUCCAGGACCCCCUGCUAAUGAGUGGGCUCCGGGGGAAGCAGAGGGCGUCGCGUCGCUCUACAGCGUGAACAGACACACAAAAAAUUAAAUAAAUCGCCAGACAAACGAGCGGCGCCGCCUGUCCCCUUAGCCCCGCCUGUCCCCUCAGCCCCGCCUGUCCCCUCAGCCCCGCCUGUCCCCUCAGCCCCGCCUGUCCCCUCAGCCCCGCCUGUCCCCUCAGCCCCGCCCCGCGCAUGCGCUCUGGGCCUCGCGCACCUGUGCAGGCCCCGCCCCGUCCUCGGACUUAAGUCACGGCGGAGCCGCUGCCGGCCCUCUCCACGUGGGAAUGCUCCUGGGAUGCGGCGGGACCAUCGCUCGGAGCGCUGCGCGAACCCAGCCCGGGGGCUGCUCCCGGUGCUGCACGGAGCCCGAGGUGCUCAGAUCGCAGGAUAUGCUAAAGAUAUACUGGGGUUGAGAGGAAUCCUAAAUCUGAGUCUCAAGUCCGUAGGUUUCCUGCAGCUGGCGGGCAGUGUGGGGCAGGAGGAGGCCAGGAGUCCCUGGAAGGCAACAGCACCUCUUGUGCUUUGGCUCUGUGGUGUCCUGCCUGUGCCUGCGGUGUCCUGCCUGUGCCAAGCACGUCCCAGGGAUGGACACUGAGCUGCCCAGGCAGCGCUGGCACAGACACGGCUCAAGGGCUGCCCGUGGCUCCUGGGCCAGGGGCUGCUCUGAAUGGGCACCUGGAGAUGCUUCAGCCUGGGCAGAGACCACCGAGAGCCCAAAAGCACCGCAAGGCACAGCUGGCAUUUCCUGCUGAUGGCAGCACAGGCCACUUACAGAGGAGCUCAGACAGCGAUUCCUGGUUCUGAUCUCCCAGAGCUCCAACACAGCUGCCAGACAAAAGUCCUUCCUGCAUGCCGAUGAAGGCUUUGUCUGCUCCGAAUUGACGUGUAAUGAAGUGCUGUCUUCUCGCUAAUGGGAGCCAUCGGAGGUGAUCGGUACUUGGCAGGUGGGGUGAAGUUUUGUGUGGAUGAAAGUGGGAGUUUUUCAGGGAGCCAGCUGGAAGUGCAGAAGGGAUGGAAAGGUUUUGCAGGAAGUCCCUUGGCAGAACGUGAAGUAGCAGCCCCCAGUAGCUGUGUGUCAUUUGCUGGUGCAGAUGCUCCAGUAACCACUCCAGUGACAGAAAAUACAGACUCACCAGUCUGGGACUUCAGCAGCAAGCAAGGUGAAGGUCAGCUUUCCAGCAUGUCCCAGUAAUUCUGCAAACUUGUCCAAGCAGAUGUUGAAUUCCUUGUCGAAGGAAGUCAGUGUUCCCGCUCUAGAGUGAAAAAACUUGAGCUGGGUGAGGUUCAAAGAUACUUCAGUGAGAAGCUGACUAGGUCUUUCCCUGACUUCAGCACAUCCAAACCAAGCCAUGAGGAGUGUGAGAGUGACCCUCAGGGCUUGAUGAGCAGAGAAGUGGAUCCCAAAGGCUGCCAUCUUCUGGAAAAAUCCAGUCAGUUGGUGUCUCAGGUCAGCAGCCUAAUCAAUGAGCACUGAACCCAUCAAGAGAAGUGUAGAGAUCCAUGCAGGCUCUGAAGAGCUGCUGCCAUUCCCAGGAGACAGGGGUUUGACCAGUGGAAAAACCACUGAGAGAGAGGAGGAGGAAAAUGCUGAGGUUGUAAAUGGAGAUCAUCAAAGCAAAGAAGGAAGUGGUUCUGAUGAGAACUGUGUUGGGAGUCUAUCAGCACAAGCUGGCUCAGAAAGAAACAAUGAGAGCUUCCCUGAUGACAGCAGUGAAGACCCAGUGGAAGGCUCAGAAAGCUCCAUCAAACCAAAAAUCCCUUUAUCUGAUCCUGUUGUUGUUCCCAACUUCUUCCUUCCACCCCAGGAGAUGGAAACCUCCGUGAGACUGCUCAGCACUUCCUCUCAUCCCUCUGCAUCUCCAGAGGGAUCCUGCUGGAGCUGGUGACAAACCCCUAGCCCUACACGGACAAGGCAGCAGACCUGUUUCAGAAAGCCAGCAUGCUCCAGGUGGCUGUGUUUAAACAGGACUCUGAUAGCAUCCAGCAUCCCUGUCUCUCACAUUGACGGUGUGUGGUAACCCAUCAACAACAGAAUUUCAUGACCUGGGGCUACAUUUUCUAGCCCUAAUCAGCAAACUGGGGAUGGAUAACUCUAGAAAUCCUGUUGAGUGAGGACCCUCCAGGAUUCAGCCCUCCACGUGUACUUGGUAUCAGAAGUAGAAGGUGGAAUUUCAAAGUUUCCGCUUUUCCCCUGAAAGUAAUUUCUGAUGUGGCUGUGCCACUUCAACAGUAUUUGAAAUCUCUCUUCAUGCUCUUGCAGCAGCAUUUUUGAACUAAAAUGGAAAUUUAGCGCUUCUGCCUGGGACUGUUGACAGAAUCAUGGAAUCCCAGGAUGGUUUGGGUGGAAAGGCUCCUUAAAGCUCAGCCACUUCCACCCCUGCCAUGAACAGGGACACCUUUCAGUAGCUGGGCUGCUCCAAGCCCCAGGGUCCAACCUGGCUUUGGACACCUGCAGGGAUCCAGGAGCAGCCACAGCUUCUCUGUGCUGGACAGCAGCAUUGAAAGGCAGAGUGAAGGUUCAGCCAUGAUUUUUGUGUUGCACUUACCAUUGUAUUGUGUGACAAAUGUGGCUUUCAUCCUUUUUUUAUUUUUUUUUUUUUUUGAGAAAUUACAAAGACGCCUUAUAUUCCUGGAGUGUUGCAUUCUACCUCUGUUGUUUUUCCUGUAAGUCUGGAUCCUCUGCUUAGAAUUUUUUCUUCACUUAUUAGAUGUCCUGGAUAUGGUGGAUGUCCUGAUUGAGGGCAGUGAUGGCUUUGAUGAAGCAAUUGGGUUCUCUUUAAAGUGAAGACAUGAUUAUCCAAACAUUUCCCUUCAGUGCUGUUGUCCCUGCUGCCUUAGAAGCCAGGAAUAUACUGUUGCUUCAGUCUGAAAAUGGAACAGGGAGAUGAACGCAAACUCACAGCCAUUCAGUCCUGACAGUCCCCUGCAGUGAGAGCUCAGUACACAUCCACAGAGGCAAGUCCAGCAUCUGAAAGAAAACAAACCAAAGGAUAAGGUGAUUUCUUGCACUUCCAAGUUAUUUCAAGUUCUUAAAGCCCAAGCAACAUUUGCUCUCGAUUUUGCUUGGCUGAAUCAUGCGCAGUGGGCACAGGUCAAGGCAUUCAUGCAGCUGUAAACCCAGGGUAAUUUAGAGGGGACACAAGAAGUGUUUGUGUAGGAACAUGCGAGGGGAUGUCAAGGGGAGUGAGGUCUUCCUGGCUCCCUUAAGAGGCUUUUUACUAUCAGCAAAAGAGCAAAUUGUGUCUUGAUGUGCAGAGGUGUUCCUUUAGAGGCACUGCUGUUAUGGGAUGAACAUCAUUAAGUUCAAGGGUAAUGGUAAUAGGAUGAGGCAAAGAACUGGGAAAACUGGCAGAAAUGGAAUAUAUCAGGCCCCACAAUGGCAUGCAAACAAAAGAAACAAGAGAAAUCCUGCCUAGUUUUUUAUCUUGUCUGGCCUUGCUUUCUUUGCCAAGUUACAAGGUCUCUGUACCUAAUUGUGGGUCAAGGUCUUCCCCUUCCCCAGGAAAGAACUGGGCUGUGCAGUCCUUGGGUCACAGCACUUCCGUAUUUACCUCUUGUUGUUUGACCCUUCCCACCCUUGAAUAUCUGAGGGCAGGGAGCUCCACUUUGUGUCUGUGCUAAAAAAAAACCUUGGGAGUGAUAAAAUAUGAUCAAUUCAACAGGAAAAACACCACAACAAAUUCAAAAUACCCCAAUCCCCCCGCAAAAACCAAAACAAAAACCAUCCAAACCAGCUGAAUUUCAUGCAUGAUCGGAUAAAGAAUGCUUGGAUGCAGCAUCAAAACCUUGAUGUCAACCAAUUAAUGCAGUUCCUUAGCUAAGAAUUGCAUUUGGAGAAAGUAGAGGGUGAACAGCAUUUAUAAGACAUUGAGAAGUUUAAAUGGUUCUUAGAAAAAGCAAGCAGAUAAUAGAUGGGGAAAAAUACCACUGAUGCCUCAAUAAAAUCAGCAAUUUUAAGGUGUAAAUAAGGCCUGAAUAAGGUUGGCAAUUCUAAGGUAUAACACAAUAAUAUAAAAUAAAGUAUUAACAAACCCCUUUGCCUUACUGCAUACAAUUCAGCUAACUUCUUUGCAUGUAUUAUAAAAGAAAAUAAAAAUUGUUUUAACUCUGGUGAUGUGAAGUGUUAAAACACUUCAAAACCAUACUUUACGUAUGAAAAUGGUAAUCCCAGUCCUGUCCUAAACAGUGAGAUUGAAAACCAUCUCAGAAAAUCGGUUUUUGUGGUAUUGCCAGGCCCUCUUUGCAGACCAACAAUAUGUUUAUAUUCUAGAGUUAGGACAAGAUUGAGAUAAGAGCCCAUUUUCAGUUAUUUCUUCUAACAGAAGUGAUAGGUUUUACAAUUUGCCAGUUGCUGAAAUGCUUUGUAUGAAGAUCAAAAAGAAAUAUUUCCUUUGUGUGAGAGCAAAGUAUUUCUGUGUAAUAUUUGGGGCUUUUUUCUUCUGUCAAAUGAUAUUUUUUUAAAAUUGCCUUUCUAGAACUCUCUUCUGAAUGAACCAAUAUCUGUUGUAUUUUUUUAAUGUUUCUAAAAUGCAAGACAAUCCAGCUGUUAUGCUGGCUCUGUGUUUGCCCUCUGUUUAUGCAGUGUGGAGGACCAUCCAUCAUCUGCCCUGGACUUCAGAAUGAUGACAUCUGGACUUCAUCCUCACAAUGCUGUAGCACUGACACUUCAAACAAACUCAGAAAAUGAUAAAAAAAAAAGGGCACAACUUACAACCAUUCCACAAGCAUAAUAUCUGUGUGCAAACAAAAGGCUAAAUUUGGCUGGAAAUAAUUAAAGUUUUGGGGUUUCUUUUUUUUGGUCUUGCUUUGGGUUUUCCCCCCCUCUUCCCUCUUCCUGGUUUUAACUUCUUGAACUUUUAAGUUAAGGCAGGCUGAAGGCGUGAAAUUACAGAUGGUGCUCACUCAUCCUAAAAUUGAAAACUUCCUCUUUCCAAAGGUAAUUGUUUCCAGUUGAUACUUGCCACUUGAAGGAGGUAAGUCAAUCAUUUCUAGAAGGAAAACAGCUCUUAUAUUCCCGAGAAGGAAAACUCCCUGAAAAGAUCUGUGUCCUCAGAAAAGGGACUGCAUCUUCUUUCCUUCAUCUAUAAUCUAAUUUCAGGUGUCAAAUCCACACACAGAAACUUUGGCAGAAACAGGUAGAAGUAGCAAGAGUUCCUUGAUAUUUAUAGACUAUGAAUGCAAAAACAUAACUGGGAAAAGCAGAUAAUAUAUUUGAAAAUAUUCAGUAUUUCAAAACUUACUUAAAAAAGCUGGCCUUGGAGAUCUAGAGCCUGUAACCUUUCUGAAAUGUGGAGUUUCAACAGCAGAUCAUGGAACAACUGCAAGAGUAUGCAAAGACAGUAGGCCAUUUACAGUGUGCUUGGUUAUGUUUCUAACCCACAUUGAAAAGAAAUCCUGGAUAACACUAUCUAUCUAAAUAAACAUCGUUACAGUCAGAAAUAUCAAUUAGGUUCUUUCAAUGACUUCUGAUAAGCUUCUUGAGGGCAUGCUGGCUGGUAAGGAUGUUCUCAUUAUUUAGCAGCUCCAGACUGGGAGUAGGAAUCUUUGGUUUUUGUCUUUACUGCUCAGCACAGAUGCAAGCCCAGACCUUAGAGGGAAAUGAACUGUGCCUCUUCUCCCUGGGUUUAAUAAAUAUAUGCAGACAGUAAAGGCCUGCCAAGGUUUAGGAAUCCUGCAUUUAUUUCAGGUCUGAAGAAUAUCUCCUUUAGGGUUAGAAAUUCCUUUCCCUCUGAACAUUCUCCUUCACAGUUUCCUCUCACUGCCUUUUUCUCCCAACUCUUCUCUCCUUAUCCCAGGCUUGUAUUGUCCCUGUUUGCCCUCUUGGAAAAAAACAAACAAACAAAUAACUGACAGCUUCAAUUUGUGUCUUUCAAACACAAGUUUGACAGCUUUUAUUUUCUCAGCUGUUUCUGUCUUCUGACAAGCAGAAAAGCUGCCCUGAGUGCAUACUUGCAAGUGAUACAAGCAGUUUUGCAUGCAAGUUCUCAGAAAAUUUUUUGUGGCUGAGAUUUGAAUACCAAGACUUAAAUCUGAUGCUUAAUUUGAAUCAUCCCAGUGAGCUGGACUCAAUCAAUAGCUGCCUUUGCUUUAUUCAGGAACAAACACUCUCCAGGUUCUUCCUGUUCCUGUAAAAACAAGGUUAUUUCCUCCUGUCUGUUUGCACCUCGAUUUACUUCAUCUGAAUCUGAUAAGGGAUUUUAGGACAUGUGAAAUUAGCAGCAGCUACCUAAAAUUUGUAUUCUCUCAGGGAAACCAGGUCCUUGUAUGUCCUGUUAAUGACUCAAUUUUUUUUCAAGGCAAGCAAGGAGGAAUGAGACCCAAAGUACAUCUUUGCAAAAUUAUUGUAAAAUGUUCAAGGGAAGGCAUAAGAGCUGUAAUUCUAAUAAAAGAGAGGGGGGGAAGGGGAAAAAAAGGAAACAAUAGAAAAGGGACUACAGAACCUGCUCCAGUAACGGCAGAGAAGGACUUCACACACUAAACCUCCAGGUUCUGUGAACCUGGGGUUCCUGAGGUAUUACAGGAUCUGUCUCAAUGCCUGAUUUAAUAAAACUCAACUGAAAAACUC
Molecule: long non-coding RNA, 6921 nt
Organism: Catharus ustulatus (Swainson's thrush)
Lineage: Eukaryota; Metazoa; Chordata; Aves; Passeriformes; Turdidae
Exons: 12
Source: RefSeq, a predicted model, not a curated record